Mustela putorius furo (domestic ferret) is the source of this 103-nucleotide small nucleolar RNA. The record is from Ensembl. Lineage: Eukaryota; Metazoa; Chordata; Mammalia; Carnivora; Mustelidae.
ACCUUUUUGUAGUUCAUAAGCAUGGUGAUUGGCUGUUCACUGUGUAUGUGACACGUGCCUCCCUCAGACCUUACUACCACCUCGGCACAUUACCCAUAUGAGG